GCUAAGAGUCCAGAAUAAGGCGCAAUCCUAUCAGUUUGUUGGUAGUGUAAAGGACUACCAAGGCUUCCACGGGUAACGGGAAAUCAGGGUUUUAUUCCGGAGAGGGAGCCUGAGAGAUGGCUCCCACGUCCAAGGACGGCAGCAGGCGCGAAAAUUAUCCACUCUUUUGAGAGGAGAUAGUUAUGAGACGUGAGUAAAAGAGCCGAGUGCAAAUGCCUCGGUGUAAAGCAAUUGGAGGGCAAGUUUUGGUGCCAGCAGCCGCGGUAAUACCAACUCCAAGAGUGUCUCUGACGGAUGCUGCAGUUAAAAAGUCCGUAGUCUUUUAUGCAAUUAAAGGGUGGAGCUCAAAGCCACUGAGUUUGUUGUUGCUAGCGGAACGGAUUGGGGGCAUGGUAUAGGUAGGCCAAGAAUGAAAUCUCAAGACCCUACCUGGACCAACUGAGGCGAAAGCGAUGCCCUGAGACGUAUCUUUGGAUCAAGGACGAAGGCUAGAGUAUCGAGAGUGAUUAGACACCGCUGUAGUUCUAGCAGUAAACUAUGCCGACAACCUGUGCCCUACGGGGCGCGGGUGGGAGAAAUCUUAGUUUUCGGGCUCUGGGGAUAGUAUGCUCGCAAGGGUGAAACUUAAAGCG
This 632-nucleotide ribosomal RNA is filed under the name Microsporidium sp. JI-2014. RNAcentral describes it as "SSU rRNA". It matches the Rfam family "Microsporidia small subunit ribosomal RNA", at positions 143 to 785 of the family's 1311-position model. Lineage: Eukaryota; Fungi; Microsporidia. The record is from RNAcentral.